Molecule: long non-coding RNA, 485 nt
Filed under: Canis lupus familiaris (dog)
Lineage: Eukaryota; Metazoa; Chordata; Mammalia; Carnivora; Canidae
Description: lncRNA (ENSCAFG00000043345.2, ENSCAFG00845012407.1)
Source: RNAcentral
GAACAUAUGCCAGGGGCUGCCAUUCUAAAGGGCUGAGCCUUUGUGAGAAGGCAGUGAGGAUUUGGAUUUGGGAUGAUACUGACUGAGCCACAGGAGCCCAAACAUCUGCCAGAGCCAGCAACAGGAAAACUCAACAGCUGAAAUUUGUUGUUAUUCUUCCCAUCUUCCACUGUUUCUCUAACCAGAGAGUACUGUGGCCAGUGUAUAUCCACAAAUAAGGAUUGAGAAUAGAUGAGAAACCUGGAAAGCUUCAUUACAUUUCCAGGACACCAGAGUAAGAAUCGCCAUGCCAGACAUCAAAUUGAUGUUGUGCCAUUUCUCUCCUGGAGGCAAUUUUUGAGAUCAUAAAAGUGUGCAAGGGACAUGAAAAUGGGGCCUAGAUGAUUUGGAACUGACAGAAUUUUCAGCUCAUGGAUACUGAGAAAGAACAGAAGCUGUUGGUAUCAAUGGCUGUUUGUUUUUGUGACACUUUGAGUAAUAAAAGC